UAGUCCUACGGGAGGCAGCAGUGAGGAAUAUUGGUCAAUGGGCGAGAGCCUGAACCAGCCAAGUCGCGUGAGGGAGUACUGCCCUAUGGGUUGUAAGCCUCUUUUGUCAGGGAGCAACGCCGGCUACGUGUAGCCGGACUGAGAGUACCUGAAGAAAAAGCAUCGGCUAACUCCGUGCCAGCAGCCGCGGUAAUACGGAGGAUGCGAGCGUUAUCCGGAUUUAUUGGGUUUAAAGGGUGCGUAGGCGGAAUGCCAAGUCAGCGGUAAAAUCGCGGGGCUCAACCUCGCUCCGCCGUUGAAACUGG
RNAcentral lists this ribosomal RNA (305 nucleotides) under uncultured bacterium. RNAcentral's name for it is "bacterial SSU rRNA". It matches the Rfam family "Bacterial small subunit ribosomal RNA", at positions 334 to 636 of the family's 1533-position model. The record is from RNAcentral.